UACGAAGGGGGCUAGCGUUGCUCGGAAUCACUGGGCGUAAAGGGCGCGUAGGCGGCCAUUCAAGUCGGGGGUGAAAGCCCAGGGCUCAACCCUGGAAUUGCCUUCGAUACUGUUUGGCUAGAGACCGGAAGAGGUAAGUGGAACUGCGAGUGUAGAGGUGAAAUUCGUAGAUAUUCGCAAGAACACCGGUGGCGAAGGCGGCCAACUGGACGAACACUGACGCUGAGACUCGAAAGCGUGGGGAGCAAACAGG
RNAcentral lists this ribosomal RNA (253 nucleotides) under uncultured bacterium. RNAcentral's name for it is "partial 16S ribosomal RNA". It matches the Rfam family "Bacterial small subunit ribosomal RNA", at positions 524 to 776 of the family's 1533-position model. The record is from RNAcentral.